CCUGCUCAGACUGGCCGUGGCGCUUCCCGACCGGUUUUGCUCAGCCGACAUUAUCUUACUACUUGGAUAACCGUGGUAAUUCUAGAGCUAAUACAUGCUAAAAACCUCGACUUCGGAAGGGGUGUAUUUAUUAGAUAAAAAACCAAUGCCCUUCGGGGCUCCUUGGUGAUUCAUGAUAACUUAACGAAUCGCAUGGCCUUGCGCCGGCGAUGGUUCAUUCAAAUUUCUGCCCUAUCAACUUUCGAUGGUAGGAUAGUGGCCUACCAUGGUAUCAACGGGUAACGGGGAAUUAGGGUUCUAUUCCGGAGAGGGAGCCUGAGAAACGGCUACCACAUCCAAGGAAGGCAGCAGGCGCGCAAAUUACCCAAUCCCGACACGGGGAGGUAGUGACAAUAAAUACUGAUACAGGGCUCUUUUGGGUCUUGUAAUUGGAAUGAGUACAAUUUAAAUACCUUAACGAGGAACAAUUGGAGGGCAAGUCUGGUGCCAGCAGCCGCGGUAAUUCCAGCUCCAAUAGCGUAUAUUAAAGUUGUUGCAGUUAAAAAGCUCGUAGUUGAACCUUGGGCCUGGCUGGCCGGUCCGCCUCACCGCGUGUACUGGUCCGGCCGGGCCUUUCCUUCUGGGGAUCCUCAUGCCCUUCACUGGGUGUGCUGGGGAACCAGGACUUUUACUUUGAAAAAAUUAGAGUGUUCAAAGCAGGCCUUUGCUCGAAUACAUUAGCAUGAAUAAUAGAAUAGGACGUGCGGUCCUAUUUUGUUGUUUCUAGGACCGCCGUAAUGAUUAUAGGGAUAGUCGGGGGCAUCAGUAUUCAAUUGUCAGAGGUGAAUCUGAUUUAUGAAGACUACUACUGCGAAGCAUUGCCAGGAUGUUUUCAUAUCAGUGACGAAAGUUAGGGAUCGAAAGACGAUUCAGAUAC
This 916-nucleotide ribosomal RNA is filed under the name Neofusicoccum mangiferae. RNAcentral's name for it is "SSU rRNA". It matches the Rfam family "Eukaryotic small subunit ribosomal RNA", at positions 77 to 1015 of the family's 1831-position model. The record is from RNAcentral. Lineage: Eukaryota; Fungi; Ascomycota; Dothideomycetes; Botryosphaeriales; Botryosphaeriaceae.